UUGCAGUUAAAAAGCUCGUAGUUGGAUUUCUGGUCUGGGCGUCCGGUCCGCCGCUGUGCGGUGUGUACUUGGUUCGACCCGGGCCUUCCUUGUGGGGAAUGUAUCUGGGCUUAAUUGGUCGGAUAUUGGAACCACAUCGUUUACUGUGAAAAAAUUAGAGUGUUUAAAGCAGGCAUUUGCUGUGAAUACAUUAGCAUGGAAUAAUAAGAUAGGACUUUGGUUCUAUUUUGUUGGUUGGAGGCCAAGGUAAUGAUUAAUAGGGAUAGUUGGGGGUAUUCAUAUUUAAUUGUCAGAGGUGAAAUUCUUGGAUUUAUGAAAGAUGAACUUAUGCGAAAGCAUUUACCAAGGAUGUUUUCAUUAAUCAAGAACCGAAAGUUAGGGGAUCGAAGAGGAUUAGAUACCCCUCGUAGUCUUAACCCAUAAACUAUGCCGACUCGGGAUUGGAGGGUGUAUAUCCAUGACCCCU
Molecule: ribosomal RNA, 466 nt
Filed under: uncultured marine eukaryote
Lineage: Eukaryota
Description: SSU rRNA
Rfam family: Eukaryotic small subunit ribosomal RNA
Source: RNAcentral